GUUGUGGCUCAGUGGUAGAGUGCUCGCCUCACACGUUCAAGAACCUGGGUUCAAUCCUCAGCACGACA
RNAcentral lists this transfer RNA (68 nucleotides) under Marmota monax (woodchuck). Its description in RNAcentral is "tRNA.Val". Lineage: Eukaryota; Metazoa; Chordata; Mammalia; Rodentia; Sciuridae. The record is from RNAcentral.